UCUGGCCGGUGAGUGUGGAGACGCAGCGCCACUGCUCUCUGCAAACAAACAGGGUUUGCCCAGCGCUCGGGCCAUCAGUGUGACGACAGAUGAGCCAGCCAGCUCUUCAGUCUCUUCCUAACAGGACAUGGUAUGUUCAAGCCACUUGUGCAACACGGAGCUGGUGUAGAUGAGGGACUUGACUGGCUGUCAAAUGAGUUUUCAAAACGUUAAAUGAAACUAGACAUCUAACCAAAGACAUGUUUGAUAAAAUUGGUCUAGACUUGCUACAGCAAAAUUUGUUUGUAUCUUGGUUAAGAAACAGCAUCUGGGACUGGCUUGGGCAGAAUAAUAAACUUAUUUUGUUGCCAAUUAUUGUUUGCCAAAUAUAAUGUUGUUAUUUAGCAAUGUGCUUGGUUUUAAAGAAAUUCUUCUUGGGAAAAAGGUGUCCUCAUUUACUUCCCAUGAGCCUAAAGCCUGGACAUAGUUAUUGUAAAACCUUUAAAUAAAUCCACCUUGGAAGUUAAGAUACAUAAAAAUAAAUAAGGUGGGGCGUGGUGGCUCACGCCUGUGGGAGCACUGUCUGUGAGGAGGUGAAUCCCUUGAGCUUGUUGGAGACAAGGCUGGGCAACAUGGUGAACCUUGCCUCUAUUUAAAAAAAAAAAAAAAAAAAGGCCGUGCACGGUGGCUCAUGCCUGUAAUCCCAGCAUUUUGGGAGGCCGAGGCGGGGGGAUCAUGAGGUCAGGAGAUCGAGACCAUCCUGGCUCACAUGGUGAAACCCCAAACCCCGUCUCUACUAAAAAAAUUAGCUGGGCAUGGUGGCACGUGCCUGUAAUCCCAGCUACUCGGGAGGCUGAGGCAGAAGAAUCGCUUGAACCCAGGAGGCGGACGUUGCAGUGAACCAACAUCGUGCCACCGUACUCCAGCCUGGGUGACAGAGACUCCAUCUAAAAAGAAAAAAAAAGAAAAAAAAAAUUCGGCUGGGCACGGUGAUUCACACCUGUAAUCCCAGCACUUUGGGAGGCCGAGGCAGGCAGAUCACUUGAGGUCAGGAGCUCGAGACCAGCCUGGCCAACAUGGUGAAACCCUGUCUCUACCAGAAAAAUACAAAAAAUAGCCAGGCAUCGUGGCAUGUGCCUGUAAUCCCAGCUGCUUGGGUGGCUGAGGUAGGAGAAUCGUUUGAACCCAGGAGGCAGAGGUGGCAGUGAGCCGAGAUCGCACCACUGCACUCCAGCCUGGGUGACAGAGCAAGACUCCGCCUCAAAAACAAACAAAUAAAUAAAUAAAUAAAUAAAUAAAAUAAAGCACUGACUCACCAUUUUCUUUUCCCAGAUUAUCCAGAGCACUUGGGCAAAAGCCUCCACCCCAUUUUUACUAGAAUGUUCAAUGGCAGCCUUGGUUCCAGAGGCACUUGGUUGAAUUUUGCCCAUUGAUGCUCAUUUGCAUGAAUUAUCAGCGCCUCUUUCCCGUGAGAAACGGUUACCAAUGCUUUUAAAUCAAAGGCAAUCAAAGAUCCAGCUCCAGAAAACCCAGAACCAGCUUUGAUCACUCCACAUCACGGAACAGAAAAAUCAAUUGGCCCAGGAGUCCAAGAAGCUACAGGAGGAUGAGAGGAAGGGGAGCAGUUGCCGGCAGGCCUGGUGACCCUGCCCUGCUCAACCUUCCAAGAAUUUGAGAGAGAAAGAAAGAAAAAAAACCCUGCUUGCUGCGGUCUGAGUUUGUAUCCCUCCAAGAUUCAUACUGAAACCUAAUCUGCACUGUGGUGGCAUUAAGAAGAGGGGUCUUUAAAACAAUGGCCGGGUGCGGUGGCUCACGCCUGUAAU
Molecule: long non-coding RNA, 1802 nt
Filed under: Homo sapiens (human)
Lineage: Eukaryota; Metazoa; Chordata; Mammalia; Primates; Hominidae
Description: non-protein coding lnc-DIDO1-1:1
Source: RNAcentral